This 529-nucleotide ribosomal RNA is filed under the name Bifidobacterium adolescentis. Its description in RNAcentral is "bacterial SSU rRNA". It matches the Rfam family "Bacterial small subunit ribosomal RNA", at positions 158 to 698 of the family's 1533-position model. The record is from RNAcentral. Lineage: Bacteria; Bacillati; Actinomycetota; Actinomycetes; Bifidobacteriales; Bifidobacteriaceae.
GGGUGGUAAUGCCGGAUGCUCCGACAUGACGCAUGUCGUGUCGGGAAAGAUUCAUCGGUAUGGGAUGGGGUCGCGUCCUAUCAGCUUGAUGGCGGGGUAACGGCCCACCAUGGCUUCGACGGGUAGCCGGCCUGAGAGGGCGACCGGCCACAUUGGGACUGAGAUACGGCCCAGACUCCUACGGGAGGCAGCAGUGGGGAAUAUUGCACAAUGGGCGCAAGCCUGAUGCAGCGACGCCGCGUGCGGGAUGACGGCCUUCGGGUUGUAAACCGCUUUUGACUGGGAGCAAGCCCUUCGGGGUGAGUGUACCUUUCGAAUAAGCACCGGCUAACUACGUGCCAGCAGCCGCGGUAAUACGUAGGGUGCAAGCGUUAUCCGGAAUUAUUGGGCGUAAAGGGCUCGUAGGCGGUUCGUCGCGUCCGGUGUGAAAGUCCAUCGCUUAACGGUGGAUCCGCGCCGGGUACGGGCGGGCUUGAGUGCGGUAGGGGAGACUGGAAUUCCCGGUGUAACGGUGGAAUGUGUAGAUAUC